AUUGAACGCUGGCGGCAUGCCUUACACAUGCAAGUCGAACGGCAGCACGGGUGCUUGCACCUGGUGGCGAGUGGCGAACGGGUGAGUAAUACAUCGGAACAUGUCCUGUAGUGGGGGAUAGCCCGGCGAAAGCCGGAUUCAUACCGCAUACGAUCUACGGAUGAAAGCGGGGGACCUUCGGGCCUCGCGCUAUAGGGUUGGCCGAUGGCUGAUUAGCUAGUUGGUGGGGUAAAGGCCUACCAAGGCGACGAUCAGUAGCUGGUCUGAGAGGACGACCAGCCACACUGGAACUGAGACACGGCCCAGACUCCUACGGGAGGCAGCAGUGGGGAAUUUUGGACAAUGGGCGAAAGCCUGAUCCAGCAAUGCCGCGUGUGUGAAGAAGGCCUUCGGGUUGUAAAGCACUUUUGUCCGGAAAGAAAUCCUUUGCCCUAAUACGGUCGGGGGAUGACGGUACCGGAAGAAUAAGCACCGGCUAACUACGUG
Molecule: ribosomal RNA, 486 nt
Filed under: uncultured bacterium
Lineage: Bacteria
Description: partial 16S ribosomal RNA
Rfam family: Bacterial small subunit ribosomal RNA
Source: RNAcentral